This 745-nucleotide ribosomal RNA is filed under the name Psychrobacter sp. YNLB3-17-191104. Its description in RNAcentral is "bacterial SSU rRNA". It matches the Rfam family "Bacterial small subunit ribosomal RNA", at positions 504 to 1248 of the family's 1533-position model. Lineage: Bacteria; Pseudomonadati; Pseudomonadota; Gammaproteobacteria; Moraxellales; Moraxellaceae. The record is from RNAcentral.
UGUGCCAGCAGCCGCGGUAAUACAGAGGGUGCAAGCGUUAAUCGGAAUUACUGGGCGUAAAGCGAGCGUAGGUGGCUUGAUAAGUCAGAUGUGAAAUCCCCGGGCUUAACCUGGGAACUGCAUCUGAUACUGUUAGGCUAGAAUAGGUGAGAGGAAGGUAGAAUUCCAGGUGUAGCGGUGAAAUGCGUAGAGAUCUGGAGGAAUACCGAUGGCGAAGGCAGCCUUCUGGCAUCAUAUUGACACUGAGGUUCGAAAGCGUGGGUAGCAAACAGGAUUAGAUACCCUGGUAGUCCACGCCGUAAACGAUGUCUACUAGUCGUUGGGUCCCUUGAGGACUUAGUGACGCAGCUAACGCAAUAAGUAGACCGCCUGGGGAGUACGGCCGCAAGGUUAAAACUCAAAUGAAUUGACGGGGGCCCGCACAAGCGGUGGAGCAUGUGGUUUAAUUCGAUGCAACGCGAAGAACCUUACCUGGUCUUGACAUAUCUAGAAUCCUGCAGAGAUGCGGGAGUGCCUUCGGGAAUUAGAAUACAGGUGCUGCAUGGCUGUCGUCAGCUCGUGUCGUGAGAUGUUGGGUUAAGUCCCGCAACGAGCGCAACCCUUGUCCUUAGUUACCAGCGGGUUAAGCCGGGAACUCUAAGGAUACUGCCAGUGACAAACUGGAGGAAGGCGGGGACGACGUCAAGUCAUCAUGGCCCUUACGACCAGGGCUACACACGUGCUACAAUGGUAGGUACAGAGGGCA